RNAcentral lists this ribosomal RNA (263 nucleotides) under uncultured Staphylococcus sp. Its description in RNAcentral is "partial 16S ribosomal RNA". It matches the Rfam family "Bacterial small subunit ribosomal RNA", at positions 99 to 355 of the family's 1533-position model. Lineage: Bacteria; Bacillati; Bacillota; Bacilli; Caryophanales; Staphylococcaceae. The record is from RNAcentral.
CGGACGGGUGAGUAACACGUGGAUAACCUACCUAUAAGACUGGGAUAACUUCGGGAAACCGGAGCUAAUACCGGAUAAUAUAUUGAACCGCAUGGUUCAAUGGUGAAAGACGGUUUUGCUGUCACUUAUAGAUGGAUCCGCGCCGCAUUAGCUAGUUGGUAAGGUAACGGCUUACCAAGGCAACGAUGCGUAGCCGACCUGAGAGGGUGAUCGGCCACACUGGAACUGAGACACGGUCCAGACUCCUACGGGAGGCAGCAGCA